Molecule: ribosomal RNA, 1381 nt
Filed under: Escherichia coli
Lineage: Bacteria; Pseudomonadati; Pseudomonadota; Gammaproteobacteria; Enterobacterales; Enterobacteriaceae
Description: partial 23S ribosomal RNA
Rfam family: Bacterial large subunit ribosomal RNA
Source: RNAcentral
CGGUGCUGAAGCAACAAAUGCCCUGCUUCCAGGAAAAGCCUCUAAGCAUCAGGUAACAUCAAAUCGUACCCCAAACCGACACAGGUGGUCAGGUAGAGAAUACCAAGGCGCUUGAGAGAACUCGGGUGAAGGAACUAGGCAAAAUGGUGCCGUAACUUCGGGAGAAGGCACGCUGAUAUGUAGGUGAAGUCCCUCGCGGAUGGAGCUGAAAUCAGUCGAAGAUACCAGCUGGCUGCAACUGUUUAUUAAAAACACAGCACUGUGCAAACACGAAAGUGGACGUAUACGGUGUGACGCCUGCCCGGUGCCGGAAGGUUAAUUGAUGGGGUUAGCGCAAGCGAAGCUCUUGAUCGAAGCCCCGGUAAACGGCGGCCGUAACUAUAACGGUCCUAAGGUAGCGAAAUUCCUUGUCGGGUAAGUUCCGACCUGCACGAAUGGCGUAAUGAUGGCCAGGCUGUCUCCACCCGAGACUCAGUGAAAUUGAACUCGCUGUGAAGAUGCAGUGUACCCGCGGCAAGACGGAAAGACCCCGUGAACCUUUACUAUAGCUUGACACUGAACAUUGAGCCUUGAUGUGUAGGAUAGGUGGGAGGCUUUGAAGUGUGGACGCCAGUCUGCAUGGAGCCGACCUUGAAAUACCACCCUUUAAUGUUUGAUGUUCUAACGUUGACCCGUAAUCCGGGUUGCGGACAGUGUCUGGUGGGUAGUUUGACUGGGGCGGUCUCCUCCUAAAGAGUAACGGAGGAGCACGAAGGUUGGCUAAUCCUGGUCGGACAUCAGGAGGUUAGUGCAAUGGCAUAAGCCAGCUUGACUGCGAGCGUGACGGCGCGAGCAGGUGCGAAAGCAGGUCAUAGUGAUCCGGUGGUUCUGAAUGGAAGGGCCAUCGCUCAACGGAUAAAAGGUACUCCGGGGAUAACAGGCUGAUACCGCCCAAGAGUUCAUAUCGACGGCGGUGUUUGGCACCUCGAUGUCGGCUCAUCACAUCCUGGGGCUGAAGUAGGUCCCAAGGGUAUGGCUGUUCGCCAUUUAAAGUGGUACGCGAGCUGGGUUUAGAACGUCGUGAGACAGUUCGGUCCCUAUCUGCCGUGGGCGCUGGAGAACUGAGGGGGGCUGCUCCUAGUACGAGAGGACCGGAGUGGACGCAUCACUGGUGUUCGGGUUGUCAUGCCAAUGGCACUGCCCGGUAGCUAAAUGCGGAAGAGAUAAGUGCUGAAAGCAUCUAAGCACGAAACUUGCCCCGAGAUGAGUUCUCCCUGACUCCUUGAGAGUCCUGAAGGAACGUUGAAGACGACGACGUUGAUAGGCCGGGUGUGUAAGCGCAGCGAUGCGUUGAGCUAACCGGUACUAAUGAACCGUGAGGCUUAACCUUACAACGCCGAAG